ACAGCAGCAGCCGCGGGAAUACGGAGGGGGCUAGCGUUGUUCGGAAUUACUGGGCGUAAAGCGCACGUAGGCGGCUUUGUAAGUUAGAGGUGAAAGCCCGGAGCUCAACUCCGGAAUUGCCUUUAAGACUGCAGAGCUAGCAGGUGAGAGAGGUGAGUGGAAUUCCGAGUGUAGAGGUGAAAUUCGUAGAUAUUCGGAAGAACACCAGUGGCGAAGGCGGCUCACUGGCUCAUACUGGACGCUGAGGUGCGAAAGCGUGGGGAGCAAACAGGAUUAGAUACCCGGGUAGUCCUGUCUCUUAUACA
RNAcentral lists this ribosomal RNA (305 nucleotides) under uncultured bacterium. Its description in RNAcentral is "partial 16S ribosomal RNA". It matches the Rfam family "Bacterial small subunit ribosomal RNA", at positions 505 to 809 of the family's 1533-position model. The record is from RNAcentral.